CGCGGAGCAGAGCAGCUGGCAGCUCGUCGGGCUCAUAGCCCGGAGAUCACAGGUUCGAAUCCUGUCUCCGCAA
Molecule: non-coding RNA, 73 nt
Organism: Aerococcus christensenii
Lineage: Bacteria; Bacillati; Bacillota; Bacilli; Lactobacillales; Aerococcaceae
Source: Rfam